This 77-nucleotide transfer RNA is filed under the name Elusimicrobia bacterium RIFCSPLOWO2_01_FULL_54_10. Its description in RNAcentral is "tRNA-Val". It matches the Rfam family "tRNA". Rfam says of the family: Transfer RNA (tRNA) molecules are approximately 80 nucleotides in length. Their secondary structure includes four short double-helical elements and three loops (D, anti-codon, and T loops). The record is from RNAcentral. Lineage: Bacteria; Pseudomonadati; Elusimicrobiota.
GGGCUCGUAGCUCAGCUGGUUAGAGUACCUCCUUGACAUGGAGGGGGUCUCCGGUUCAAAUCCGGACGAGCCCACCA